Molecule: ribosomal RNA, 254 nt
Filed under: uncultured bacterium
Lineage: Bacteria
Description: partial 16S ribosomal RNA
Rfam family: Bacterial small subunit ribosomal RNA
Source: RNAcentral
GACGUAGGGCGCGAGCGUUGUCCGGAUUUAUUGGGCGUAAAGAGCUCGUAGGCGGCUUGUUACGUCGACUGUGAAAACCCACGGCUCAACCGUGUGGUCUGCAGUCGAUACGGGCAGGCUAGAAUUCGGUAGGGGAGCCUGGAAUUCCUGGUGUAGCGGUGAAAUGCGCAGAUAUCAGGAGGAACACCGGUGGCGAAGGCGGGUCUCUGGGCCGAUAUUGACGCUGAGGAGCGAAAGCGUGGGGAGCGAACAGG